AAUAUUCCCGUACUGGUUUACUGCGAAGGGGGGACGGAGAAGGCUAUGUUGGCCGGGCGACGGUUGUCCCGGUUUAAGCGUGUAGGUGUGUGUUCCAGGUAAAUCCGGUUCACUUUAACACUGAGGCGUGACGACGAGGCACUACGGUGCUGAAGCAACAAAUGCCCUGCUUCCAGGAAAAGCCUCUAAGCAUCAGGUAACACGAAAUCGUACCCCAAACCGACACAGGUGGUCAGGUAGAGAAUACCAAGGCGCUUGAGAGAACUCGGGUGAAGGAACUAGGCAAAAUGGUGCCGUAACUUCGGGAGAAGGCACGCUGACACGUAGGUGAAGUGAUUUACUCAUGGAGCUGAAGUCAGUCGAAGAUACCAGCUGGCUGCAACUGUUUAUUAAAAACACAGCACUGUGCAAACACGAAAGUGGACGUAUACGGUGUGACGCCUGCCCGGUGCCGGAAGGUUAAUUGAUGGGGUCAGCGCAAGCGAAGCUCCUGAUCGAAGCCCCGGUAAACGGCGGCCGUAACUAUAACGGUCCUAAGGUAGCGAAAUUCCUUGUCGGGUAAGUUCCGACCUGCACGAAUGGCGUAAUGAUGGCCAGGCUGUCUCCACCCGAGACUCAGUGAAAUUGAACUCGCUGUGAAGAUGCAGUGUACCCGCGGCAAGACGGAAAGACCCCGUGAACCUUUACUAUAGCUUGACACUGAACAUUGAGCCUUGAUGUGUAGGAUAGGUGGGAGGCUUUGAAGUGUGGACGCCAGUCUGCAUGGAGCCGACCUUGAAAUACCACCCUUUAAUGUUUGAUGUUCUAACGUGGACCCGUAAUCCGGGUUGCGGACAGUGUCUGGUGGGUAGUUUGACUGGGGCGGUCUCCUCCUAAAGAGUAACGGAGGAGCACGAAGGUUGGCUAAUCCUGGUCGGACAUCAGGAGGUUAGUGCAAUGGCAUAAGCCAGCUUGACUGCGAGCGUGACGGCGCGAGCAGGUGCGAAAGCAGGUCAUAGUGAUCCGGUGGUUCUGAAUGGAAGGGCCAUCGCUCAACGGAUAAAAGGUACUCCGGGGAUAACAGGCUGAUACCGCCCAAGAGUUCAUAUCGACGGCGGUGUUUGGCACCUCGAUGUCGGCUCAUCACAUCCUGGGGCUGAAGUAGGUCCCAAGGGUAUGGCUGUUCGCCAUUUAAAGUGGUACGCGAGCUGGGUUUAGAACGUCGUGAGACAGUUCGGUCCCUAUCUGCCGUGGGCGCUGGAGAACUGAGGGGGGCUGCUCCUAGUACGAGAGGACCGGAGUGGACGCAUCACUGGUGUUCGGGUUGUCAUGCCAAUGGCACUGCCCGGUAGCUAAAUGCGGAAGAGAUAAGUGCUGAAAGCAUCUAAGCACGAAACUUGCCCCGAGAUGAGUUCUCCCUGAGACUUAGAGUCUCCUGAAGGAACGUUGAAGACGACGACGUUGAUAGGCCGGGUGUGUAAGCGCAGCGAUGCGUUGAGCUAACCGGUACUAAUGAACCGUGAGGCUUAACCUUACAACGCCGAAG
Molecule: ribosomal RNA, 1525 nt
Filed under: Salmonella enterica subsp. enterica serovar Aqua str. NVSL2001
Lineage: Bacteria; Pseudomonadati; Pseudomonadota; Gammaproteobacteria; Enterobacterales; Enterobacteriaceae
Description: bacterial LSU rRNA
Rfam family: Bacterial large subunit ribosomal RNA
Source: RNAcentral